Molecule: long non-coding RNA, 1077 nt
Filed under: Oryzias javanicus (javanese ricefish)
Lineage: Eukaryota; Metazoa; Chordata; Actinopteri; Beloniformes; Adrianichthyidae
Description: lncRNA (ENSOJAG00000007780.1)
Source: RNAcentral
GUGUUAUAAGUGUUGAUAGCGCGUGUGAGGGGGAUUCGUGGUGUGAGAGCAUUAGUCCAGGUGUGCCUGAACGUUUGGGCUGAGGACUAUUUGCGGCCUGGCUCUCUGCUCCUGAUCAACAAGCGGCUCUCCGCGUGACAACAGCGCCGGAAAGGCUUUUCUCUAUUCAAAAUGGCACCGUCUCAAUCAGGAAGUGGAGAAAACAACUACGAAGAAUAAGUUGGAUACGUUUCUUCGUUUCUUUUUCUUUGAGAGGAUUUUCUGCUCACAGCCGACCGGGGAGUCUGCAGUUGGGAUUGGGGAUAAAUAAGACGCUGACGGUCAUGGAGAGGCUUUGCUGGUGGUAAAAGCGCUGUCUCCGUUGCAGCCUGCCACAGUAGGUAGUGGUAAAAGGGGGUCCUUUUUCAUCAGUCAGUUGGUGGACAUGUCCAAAGCUGUGGUCUGAUGCCAACCCUCACCUCCGCACCUGCCAUGGACCGGGAGAACUACCUGCAUCCAGAAGACUCUCCCCUGGACAGCAGCAUGUUCUCUGUACCCCCCUCAAACACAGAGAGUUCAAUAUAUAGCUCCUGGGGUCCUUCUGCUCAGAAUGGAUACAGCAUACACUGCCCUGUGCAAUCUGGAAACCAGUAAGUCUCUUCAAGCUUGCAGACACAUUUACAAUACCUUACAAACAGGACAGAUAUAAGUAGACAUGUUUUUUGGUGCAUGAUGUUUUGGUCCCUUUAAGCAGACCUUUAUUUCCUGAACUGAUAAGGCCUGCAGCUGCCGCUCGGUGUUGACUUGCUAUUACGUCUACACAGGCAACCCAGACAAACUGUUUCACAGCCACACACAAGUCAUGGAGGAAGAGCCAACCACACCUGAACCAAAUCUCUGCAAAGUUUUAGUAUUUUAAGCAGGACUCACCUGGUGAUGUCAAGCAACUCACUUCCCUCUGAAAUGUGUGCACAUGCAAUGCUUCAGGCAUGUCAAACGCUUUGAGUUAAAAGUAAAAAUGCUGAUACUGGGGCUGCAGUAGUGCGGUGUAGUGAUCAUCUGAUAACACAGAUGUGCCUCCUUUACGUCAGAGACCUG